AAACCAUGCUAUUUGCACCUGUGAGCCUAGAGAUGGGAUGGAACUCAAGCCUUGUGCAUGCCGGGCAAGAGCUCUGCCCCUGAGUCGUAUCCUCAGUCCUAGAACAAUGUCACAGCCCACGGAGGAAGAGUGACAUGCUUGGGAAUCAUGUGACCCCACGGGGGGAUGACACAUCUUUUUGGGAGAGCAACAAGGGGGAAGAGCCAGGCAACACGCGCUCAGGGAAGUAACUAUAAAGAACCAGGACAGGGACAAGGGGAAAAAAUGAGAACCACGACCUGUCAUGUAGAGGUACAAGAUCCCAAUGAUGAAUGCAACUGUACUGUAUACCUAAAAUGUACCAAUAAACUCAAUAAAAAGAAAAAAAAAAAGAACCAGGACACGGUAAGCCCAAGGCCAGGCACCCCCUUCUACCACUGGCCCAGCUUUCCCUUCUCCAGUGCCUUUGCCAUCUUUCUGAUUCUUCUUCUGUCUAAUUGUUUGGUGUCAUUGACCCGAAAGUCUGUCUUCCUUUUCACUUUUCCUACACAGAGUCCCGAAGACAGCUCACCCACGGC
RNAcentral lists this long non-coding RNA (557 nucleotides) under Fukomys damarensis (Damara mole-rat). Its description in RNAcentral is "lncRNA (ENSFDAG00000025292.1)". The record is from RNAcentral. Lineage: Eukaryota; Metazoa; Chordata; Mammalia; Rodentia; Bathyergidae.